RNAcentral lists this ribosomal RNA (403 nucleotides) under uncultured bacterium. Its description in RNAcentral is "partial 16S ribosomal RNA". It matches the Rfam family "Bacterial small subunit ribosomal RNA", at positions 30 to 526 of the family's 1533-position model. The record is from RNAcentral.
AUUGAACGCUGGCGGCAGGCCUAACACAUGCAAGUCGAGCGAGCGGCGGACGGGUGAGUAAUGUCUGGGAACUGCCCGAUGGAGGGGGAUAACUACUGGAAACGGUAGCUAAUACCGCAUACUAUCGGAUUACCCAGAUGGGAUUAGCUAGUAGGUGAGGGAAUGGCUCACCUAGGCGACGAUCCCUAGCUGGUCUGAGAGGAUGAUCAGCCACACUGGAACUGAGACACGGUCCAGAAUCCUACGGAGGCAGCAGUGGGGAAUAUUGCACAAUGGGCGCAAGCCUGAUGCAGCCAUGCCGCGUGUAGGAAGAAGGCCUUAGGGUUGUAAAGUACUUUCAGUCGGGAGGCGUUACCGACAGAAGAAGCACCGGCUAACUCCGUGCCAGCAGCCGCGGUAAUAC